UUGAGGGAAGUCUGGUGCCCGCUUCCGCGGUAAUUCCAGCUCCAAUAGCGUAUAUUAAAGUUGUUGCAGUUAACAAGCUCCUAGUUGAACUUCAGACCUGGCCGGGCGGUCCGCUUAACGGCGUGUACUGUCUGCGCUGGGUCUUACCUCUUGGUGAACCGGCGUGCCCUUUAUCAGUGUGCGUCGGGCAACCUGGACUUUUACCUUGAUAACAUUAGAGUGUUCCAAGCAGGCCUAUGCCUGAAUACAUUAGCAUGGAAUAAUAAAAUCUGACGUGCGGUUCUAUUUUGUUGGUUUCUAUACUCGCCGUACUGAUUAAUAGGGAUAGUUGGGGACAUUGGUAUUGAGUCGCUAGAGGUGAACUUCCUGGAUUGACUCAAGACCAACUACUGCGCAACCAUUUGUCAAGGAUGUUUUCUUUAAUCAAGAACGAACGUUAGGGGAUCGAAAACCAUCAGAUACCGUUGUAGCUCUUCAUCGUCAACUAUGCCGACUAGGGAUCGGAUGACCUCAAUUUUGAUGUGUCGUUCGGCGCCUUACCGGAAAC
Molecule: ribosomal RNA, 547 nt
Filed under: uncultured Aphyllophorales
Lineage: Eukaryota; Fungi; Basidiomycota; Agaricomycetes; Polyporales
Description: bacterial SSU rRNA
Rfam family: Eukaryotic small subunit ribosomal RNA
Source: RNAcentral